Cotesia glomerata is the source of this 174-nucleotide long non-coding RNA. RefSeq lists it as uncharacterized. The transcript has 2 exons. NCBI's taxonomy places the organism in Eukaryota, Metazoa, Arthropoda, Insecta, Hymenoptera, Braconidae. The record is from RefSeq and is a predicted model, not a curated record.
CAAAUUUUAAAAAAAAUUAUGCCCAAGUAAUUGAAAAUAAAAAGAGUUAUGCUGCUACAUUAAGUGAAAAAAAAGAAGCAUGGGAUUUCAUCGCAACCGACUUUAAUUCAUCUAGUAUAAUUACUGAAAGGCGAAAUGCAGAUCAACUCAAAAAACUUUGGUCAAAUCUAAAAA